This is a long non-coding RNA of Oncorhynchus nerka (sockeye salmon), 1370 nucleotides long. RefSeq lists it as uncharacterized. The record is from RefSeq and is a predicted model, not a curated record. Lineage: Eukaryota; Metazoa; Chordata; Actinopteri; Salmoniformes; Salmonidae. The transcript has 5 exons.
CUCCCGCACUCACUCACUGGGUGGCAAGGCCCUCUCUCCAGCCAAACCACCACAUAUCAGCGCCCACACCAGCCCCGAACCCAGUCUACACCCAUACCAGCGUAACAUCCCUAUAGCCCAUGAGCCUUGGCACCAGCCCUCACACCCCCCAUCUACCUACAACACUCAGGACACAUCCCCGCACAGAGCGCCUGCUGCAGUAGCAGUGAGUCAAGAGCCCAGUCAUCGGUCAGUACCAGAGAGGUCCAGCGGGUCUUUCCCAGGAUCCAUCAGUGUGGUGUACAGAGACAAGGUCAUGACUGCACUCUGACCCCUCCACCCUAACCUCUACAGCUCUGACUGAGGACCUUGUCCCAGGACCCUGUCCCAAACCCACCUCUAAAUCUAAAUCCUAACACAUACGCAUAUGCAUACGAGACAACUGGAAUACAGAAGACGGAGAGAGACUGGGAGACAGAGAAACACUCUGGUUGUGGACUCAUGGACCAAAAUACCUCGCCAUCCUCAUCACCAUCAUUACACACCAGCCUUGUCUACCAUGUGUCUUCUCCAUCAGAUCACCACCACCACCACCAUGCUGUGGAGACAGAGACUCCGAACAGAAAGAGAGAGACUUUAAACAGACACCAUAGAGAGAUCUCUCUCCUAGUGGAUUGGACCAUGAUGUUCAGUUAGUUCAUGCAAUUGUUGUUGAUACUUUAGUGGCUGAAUGCUACAAAGUCCUCAAAUGUAACUGGGUAAGAUUGAAAUCCCGUUUAUGCUUUACAAAACAGUCAUACCGAGACAUUUUUCUGCCCAGUUAGCGGGUAGAUUUGCUUUCAGCCAAAUCCUUUUAGAGCAAGCCAAAUAAUUUCAUCUUUUGAAAAGUUAUCCUAGCUCAGGAUUCACGGUUUGAAUGUAAGACGCCAAUCAUUUGAGUGUGUGUGAAGUAGUCUGUGUCAUCAUAAACUGCUUUAACUAGGGAUCACAUGGUUCUACAUUACAUCUGUAGGGGAAUAUAGCUACUUUGGAAAUCUCAGCUAAACAAUGAAGGAAAAUGUUCUUGUUAAAUCCGUAUCAGCAAUAUAUACAUUACAAUAUAUACAUUACAAUGUCAUGUUAUGGAAGUCUUGCGUCUAUUGCUGCAUAUCUGCCUUUAUUCUUCAGAGGCUUGAAUGUUGUGUGUGAGGGGUUCUGACUCACCUGAAUCAACCCCCAUAGAUACAUAGAAUGGCUCUGAUGGCCUUGUUUACCUGUGUUAAUGCUGAUUGUGUUUACAUCCUCUCCAUGCUCAACAUUACUUCCUGUUGCCUUAAAAUUGUUACUCUUAUCACAACCAGCCUUAGAUUGGUCGCUACAGCCUUGUUGAAUAAACGCACUGCUUAAACUCC